RNAcentral lists this ribosomal RNA (460 nucleotides) under uncultured bacterium. RNAcentral describes it as "partial 16S ribosomal RNA". It matches the Rfam family "Bacterial small subunit ribosomal RNA", at positions 338 to 795 of the family's 1533-position model. The record is from RNAcentral.
CCUACGGGAGGCAGCAGUGAGGAAUAUUGGUCAAUGGACGAGAGUCUGAACCAGCCAAGUAGCGUGAAGGAUGACUGCCCUAUGGGUUGUAAACUUCUUUUAUAAAGGAAUAAAACGAGGCACGUGUGCCUUUUUGCAUGUACUUUAUGAAUAAGGAUCGGCUAACUCCGUGCCAGCAGCCGCGGUAAUACGGAGGAUCCGAGCGUUAUCCGGAUUGAUUGGGUUUAAAGGGAGCGUAGAUGGGUUGUUAAGUCAGUUGUGAAAGUUUGCGGCCCAACCGUAAAAUUGCAAGUGAUACUGGCAGUCUUGAGUACAGUUGAGGUAGGCGGAAUUCGUGGUGUAGCGGUGAAAUGCUUAGAUAUCACGAAGAACCCCGAUUGCGAAGGCAGCUUACUAAACUGUGACUGACAUUGAUGCUCGAAAGUGUGGGUAUCAAACAGGAUUAGAUACCCUGGUAGUC